Molecule: ribosomal RNA, 429 nt
Filed under: Xerosecta promissa
Lineage: Eukaryota; Metazoa; Mollusca; Gastropoda; Stylommatophora; Geomitridae
Description: partial 16S ribosomal RNA
Rfam family: Archaeal large subunit ribosomal RNA
Source: RNAcentral
GUCUGCUCAAUGAUAUAUUUAAAUAGCCGCAGUACCUUGACUGUGCAAAGGUAGCAUAAUCAUUUGGCUUAUAAUUGAAGUCUGGCAUGAAGGAACCAAUGGGUAACAACUGUCUUAUAAAGUAAUAUAUAAUUUAUUUAAUAGGUGAAAAUACCUAUAGUAAGAUAAUAGACGAGAAGACCCUAGAAAUUUUAUAUAACAGUUAUAUUAUAUACUUAUUAUUUUGUUGGGGCGACAGAAUAACAAAAUUAACUUAUUUUAAAUUUAUUUGAAUUCUAUAAUAAGAGAAAAUAAAUUACUCUAGGGAUAACAGCAUAAUUUGUAAAAGUUUGUGACCUCGAUGUUGGACUAGGGUUUUUAAUGGUCAAAAGCUAUUAAUGAGGGCUCUGUUCGAGCUUAUUUCCCUACGUGAUCUGAUUUCAGACCGGA